GGGGCUGUGGCGCAGUUGGAAGCGCGUCUGAAUGGCAUUCAGAAGGUCGGGGGUUCGAGCCCCCCCAGCUCCA
This 73-nucleotide transfer RNA is filed under the name PVC group bacterium (ex Bugula neritina AB1). Its description in RNAcentral is "tRNA-Ala". It matches the Rfam family "tRNA". Rfam says of the family: Transfer RNA (tRNA) molecules are approximately 80 nucleotides in length. Their secondary structure includes four short double-helical elements and three loops (D, anti-codon, and T loops). The record is from RNAcentral. Lineage: Bacteria; Pseudomonadati.